This 420-nucleotide long non-coding RNA is filed under the name Elaeis guineensis (African oil palm). RNAcentral's name for it is "long non-coding RNA (EGUI_LNC000086)". Lineage: Eukaryota; Viridiplantae; Streptophyta; Magnoliopsida; Arecales; Arecaceae. The record is from RNAcentral.
GUCAAUCUUAUCCGUCCAUUCAAACAACAAACGGCCACUUGGCACCGCCUGUCCCCCGCGAUUCCACGAAAAGGACCCACAGAUGAGCAGUCCAGGUCGAGCUUGGAUGGCUCUGAUUGAGACCCCCCGCACCCGGAGAGCGACUCCCUCCCCACCACCUGAUCGUAUUCUACUGCUUUUCAUAAUGACGGAAACCUCUUCCAAUACCCACAGAACGCACACCGCCUCCCGAUUCACCCCAAAUAACCAAUCAUGCAGGGCCCACGUCGCACAGAAUGGGUGCAAAUUUGGGCGUGAGAUGGGGAUCUCACAUUAGGAUUUCAAAGUUACGGAAGUUGUAGGUCCACGGGCAAAAGAGGCAGAAGACCCCACAUUUGGAACCCGCCAUCAAAGCGACGGAGACCCACGCAUUGGAGAACG